Peromyscus maniculatus bairdii (prairie deer mouse) is the source of this 820-nucleotide non-coding RNA. The record is from RefSeq and is a predicted model, not a curated record. NCBI's taxonomy places the organism in Eukaryota, Metazoa, Chordata, Mammalia, Rodentia, Cricetidae.
GUAAGUGAUAAUAAUCAACAUAAGUCAUCUUCAAGCCAUCUAGAGAAGAGACCCACCGCCUAGCAACAUGCCUUCAGAAACUCCAGACUGGGUUGGCUGAGUGACGGAGAGGGAGCUAGCAAGAGUGACACCAACAGGGGUCAUCUUGACACGGGAAGACAUCAGCAAAGUCAGAUGUGAUGAAGAGGUCUCAGAAGAUUCUUCAAUCCUCUUCUCCAGCUCCAGGACAGCCUCCUCCUUGUUUAAGAGCAUCUGCUGUGUCUGCGUGAGCUCUUCUGCUAAAGUCUUCAGCCUGGAAGGAGGAGCCACCAUUACCAACAACACACUAAAUGUGCUGAUCCGCACAUACACAAACUUAUGAAGUCGCAGAGGCCGAAAGAGCAGCCACCUGGAAUCUACUUUAAGGGGAUCCCUGUUUCAAAGAGUCCUUGAUGAAGGGCAUGGCAAACUGAAUACUGAGGAAGACGUGGAAAGAAGAAGCAGUGUUGCAGAGGUAGGCUGAGAGAGAAAGUCACGUUCAGGAAAAUGAAGAACGCACUCUUCAGAGAACUACAGUUCAUUGAAAGUCCUAGGGUCAAUCAACCGACACGUUUUGUGACUACUUGUUCCUUCCACCCACAGGAGUAAACUCCUGUAGGGAGCUGACGCCCAAAGACUUACGCUGCCCAGCCUUGAGUGGAAGUUAAGUGGCACUGCCACCUGAGGGAGACAGAAUGUAUAACUGGCCGACUGCUACCCUUCCUGUGACCACUUCAACAUCUGUGUUCAUUUUCUCUUUUGUUUCAAUUCACUGUUUUUAAAAGCUAGUUUGUUAUUUGAA